Long non-coding RNA from Rosa rugosa (rugosa rose), 662 nucleotides. RefSeq lists it as uncharacterized. NCBI's taxonomy places the organism in Eukaryota, Viridiplantae, Streptophyta, Magnoliopsida, Rosales, Rosaceae. The transcript has 3 exons. The record is from RefSeq and is a predicted model, not a curated record.
CUUCUUCGUUUUGAUCAGAAAUCUCAAAUAGAGCUCCGAUUAGAAAUCCAAAAGAUAGAAGACGAUUAUCUGAUCAAAACCUAAAACCUUGGUUCGAUUUUGAUCGGAACUAUUUUUUAUCCCAACUCUCUCUGUCUCUCUCUCUCUCCAAUGGCAUGCUUCUUCUUCUUCUCUGUUUCUCUGCCCUCGCUUCGCAUCCAGAGCAAGACGAUGUUGUUUGGAUUUGAAAUCGAUUUCGAACUUGGAAAAUGUUGAAAAUGGAGCACGCGGUCGUUCCCCUGAGGAGGUGCUGGAGCACGUGUUCUCGUUCCUGCAGUCGGACGGCGACCGAAGCUCGACCUCGCUGGUGUGCAAGUGGGGGUAGAUUAUCGAGCGGUGAUCUGAAAAUUCAGAGCUUUGGUUUUUGCAUUAUCGGUAAUUUGUUAGUUACCUUCAGUAUGAUAAUACUAUGCUGGAGAACAAGCAAAAAGAGCUGAAGGGAUACAUAGCUUACUUCAGUCUGUGGAAACUUCCGUGAAUGCUUAUGAGGCUAUUGUAGACAUAAUGUAGGAGCCAUAUACUUUUGGAAGGAAUAAAGUUCAAACAAAUGCUCAAUGGCCAUGAAUGUGGGAGCCAAUCACAAAGCUGUUCAUCAUGAAGAUGGCAAAAAGAUAACCAGGUUU